This 447-nucleotide ribosomal RNA is filed under the name uncultured bacterium. RNAcentral describes it as "partial 16S ribosomal RNA". It matches the Rfam family "Bacterial small subunit ribosomal RNA", at positions 29 to 523 of the family's 1533-position model. The record is from RNAcentral.
AACGAACGCUGGCGGCAGGCUUAACACAUGCAAGUCGAGCGCCCCACAAGGGGAGCGGCAGACGGGUGAGUAACGCGUGGGAAUCUACCUUUUGCUACGGAAUAACUCAGGGAAACUUGUGCUAAUACCGUAUGUGUCCUUCGGGAGAAAGAUUUAUCGGCAAGAGAUGAGCCCGCGUUGGAUUAGCUAGUUGGUGAGGUAAUGGCUCACCAAGGCGACGAUCCAUAGCUGGUCUGAGAGGAUGAUCAGACACAUUGGGACUGGGACACGGCCCAAACUCCUACGGGAGGCAGCAGUGGGGAAUAUUGGACAAUGGGCGCAAGCCUGAUCCAGCCAUGCCGCGUGAGUGAUGAAGGCCCUAGGGUUGUAAAGCUCUUUCACCGGUGAAGAUAAUGACGGUAACCGGAGAAGAAGCCCCGGCUAACUUCGUGCCAGCAGCCGCCGUAA